AGGGAAAUAGCUCAGUGGUAGAGUACAUGCUUAGCAUACACAAGGUCCUGGGUUCAAUCCCCAGUAUCUCCA
Molecule: transfer RNA, 72 nt
Filed under: Camelus bactrianus (Bactrian camel)
Lineage: Eukaryota; Metazoa; Chordata; Mammalia; Artiodactyla; Camelidae
Also listed under: 3 other names
Rfam family: tRNA
About the family: Transfer RNA (tRNA) molecules are approximately 80 nucleotides in length.
Source: Rfam by way of RNAcentral